Molecule: ribosomal RNA, 468 nt
Filed under: uncultured bacterium
Lineage: Bacteria
Description: partial 16S ribosomal RNA
Rfam family: Bacterial small subunit ribosomal RNA
Source: RNAcentral
GACGAACGCUGGCGGCGUGCUUAACACAUGCAAGUCGAACGGAAAGGCCCUGCUUUUGUGGGGUGCUCGAGUGGCGAACGGGUGAGUAACACGUGAGUAACCUGCCCUUGUCUUUGGGAUAACUUCAGGAAACUGGGGCUAAUACCGGAUAGGAGCUCCUGCUGCAUGGUGGGGGUUGGAAAGUUUCGGCGGUUGGGGAUGGACUCGCGGCUUAUCAGCUUGUUGGUGAGGUAGUGGCUUACCAAGGCUUUGACGGGUAGCCGGCCUGAGAGGGUGACCGGCCACAUUGGGACUGAGGUACGGACCAGACUCCUACGGGAGGCAGCAGUGGGGAAUAUUGCACAAUGGGCGGAAGCCUGAUGCAGCAACGCCGCGUGCGGGAUGACGGCCUUCGGGUUGUAAACCGCUUUCGCCUGUGACGAAGCGUGAGUGACGGUAAUGAGUAAGGAAGCACCGGCUAACUACGUG